Molecule: long non-coding RNA, 73 nt
Organism: Sinocyclocheilus anshuiensis
Lineage: Eukaryota; Metazoa; Chordata; Actinopteri; Cypriniformes; Cyprinidae
Exons: 3
Source: RefSeq, a predicted model, not a curated record
UGGGAAACAUUGGCCUACACCCAUGAACCAUUUACACUUGAAGCUUUACCUGACUGAAUUAUGUUUUUAAUUU